This 72-nucleotide transfer RNA is filed under the name Anadara cornea. RNAcentral's name for it is "tRNA-Leu". Lineage: Eukaryota; Metazoa; Mollusca; Bivalvia; Arcoida; Arcidae. The record is from RNAcentral.
UGUUCGGGUAUCUUAUAAAAUUAAGAGUUGGGCUCAAGGCUCAGAAAGCAUUAAAAUUUUUAUGUCCGAAUU